RNAcentral lists this unclassified non-coding RNA (253 nucleotides) under uncultured Halomonadaceae bacterium. RNAcentral's name for it is "contains 16S-23S intergenic spacer region". It matches the Rfam family "Bacterial small subunit ribosomal RNA", at positions 524 to 776 of the family's 1533-position model. The record is from RNAcentral. Lineage: Bacteria; Pseudomonadati; Pseudomonadota; Gammaproteobacteria; Oceanospirillales; Halomonadaceae.
UACGGAGGGUGCAAGCGUUAAUCGGAAUUACUGGGCGUAAAGCGCGCGUAGGUGGCUUGAUAAGCCGGUUGUGAAAGCCCCGGGCUCAACCUGGGAACGGCAUCCGGAACUGUCAAGCUAGAGUGCAGGAGAGGAAGGUAGAAUUCCCGGUGUAGCGGUGAAAUGCGUAGAGAUCGGGAGGAAUACCAGUGGCGAAGGCGGCCUUCUGGACUGACACUGACACUGAGGUGCGAAAGCUAGGGUCUCGAACCGG